CAAACAACCACAACCCCUGAGUUUAUUCAAGCCUGCAUGUUUAUUGUGUUUCCAUUACAGGGAAAGGAAGUUUGAGAGGUGAGCUCCAAAGAGCAAAGGAGAGAAAAUGGAGACUUUUCUAGUUCUGCAGCCCCUGGGAUGGGAAAACACUCACAUCCCAGCACUUGUCCUCCGAAUGCCACUAGUGAAGACAACUACUUGGAUAGUCUUAGUCCAGAAAGGCAGAUUCCUCCUGUAUACACUUCACUAGCAGAAGAAGCAACAAGAGGUUAAAGAACAAAAAUUAUAGGUGUCAUAUUGUGGUCCAGCACUUCAGGUGAUGAACUGAAGGAUCAAGCGAGCAGGACCUCGUUCCUGAACUCCAGAGGUGACUGAGACCAGAACUCUGAAACAUGGGCUAGUCUGUGGUUAUGUGAAUAUACCCUCUGAGUCCAAUGGGAAGACUCAGAUGCUGGGCUGAAUAAUACUCUUCUUCCACGUAUGUUUUAACAUCUUGUUUGCAAAAUUGUAACAAUACUUUUUUUCCCCUUGAGCUUCAUCCAUGUUCUCUGCUUAGGUUGUGGUCCUACAGCAGGGAUGAUCUCUUACUCUGUCUUUAUGUGCUGCCUAGCACAAUGGGGCUCUCAGCCUGACAGGAGCCUCUAGGCAUCAGUGUGUUACAAAUAAAAACAGGGACAACAAUAAACUGUUGCCUCAGUUUUGAAAUGUGCCACUCAUUGCUACAAGAACUGGAGCCCACAAAAUAAUUCUGCAAUCUAAGUAGACCUGAAACUGGCACCAGCUAGUAAGCAGCUACUCAUGGCAAGAGAAGCUGCUAGAAUUAGAGUUAUUGCCCCAGUGGAGCAAUGAGCCUUCAGAACAAAGAACUAUCACACUGCUAAAGUCAGUUUGGAAAAAGUAAAUGAUGUAGGUAGAACAUGAAAAAUACACAGUCUUGAGCCAAAGCACUAUAGAGCCAACAGCUUUGGAUCAGUCCCUAUAUGCAUAGUAUAUAUGGUAAAACCCAAAGCAUUCUAAGCUGUUCGGUGUUAUAAGUCAAGAAUAUUUUCUAGAGACACAGGAUUUCAUCCUGACAGAGUCCCUUCAAGCUCUGCCAAGAAAACUGAACGCUGCAUAGGAAAAGUAAAUACCUUUCUACACAAAGACCUCCCAAACUAGUUUAAAAAAAAUUGAAUUAUUGUCAUUUUUAUGUGGUUAAACCAUAUGAAAGUGAUACAAAGAACUCUUCUUAGUUCUAAAAUAAACAUCCAUCAGUGUGGAGUAAGGUUUGUCUGGAAGUGUCUUACUUAACAUCUGACACCUGCCUGCAUAGAGAUGUUUCUCAGUGCACACAGACUGGGUGGCAGCUGUGUAUAUGCACAUGCAACAGGCUAAGUAAAUCACAUACUAUGUCAAUACUGGCUUCCCCUUGUCCUCUGCCAACCUGCACAUCCUCUGUUGGAUCCUGCAGACUGAGAAGUCAACUCAGAGCCCAUACAUCUCCUCCCUUCCUUUUGGGAGAUCUGUUCUUGAUCUGGAGCUGCACUUCUGGCAAAUCUUCCUGUUUCAUAGGUGUGAAAGGCUUUCUUAAGGCUCCUUUAGCAGAUUUAUCUUGGGUUGAGUAAAUAUCCUCAGUGUCAGGUCUUAAAUGUCAUCCAGAAGUGAUCUUAAAAUUUAGGCAGUAGAGAGAAUUACUGUCAAUUCUGUUUGGGUAGCAUACUUUCCUGCAGUGAAGCUACAGGGUGGAGAUGAAGACUCCAGGGUUGGUACCUGGCUUUAUAAUCAAACUAGUCUCCAAGAAAGAGGCAUAAAAGACAAGAAUUUAACUAGAACUAAUUCUUCAUUCAGAUCUCAGAGGAAAACAGAGAUUUAACUAGGCUUUGAAAAAGCUAAUAAAAAUUUGAUUAAGCAAUAAAAAUGAAAAGUUAAAGAACUUUUAGAUUAUCAGCAGUGACAGAAAAAUAAUUCAUACUUAGUUGUUGUUCACUGCCAGCUGACAAAAUCUGUUGUUCAGUAUCACCAAAGUGAAAGGAAGCUGAACGGGCAGGGAAGGUUUCAGGGGAUCAUUGUGCACAACGGAGAGUGAGCUGCUUUUCUAUGAAAAGAAUCUUCCUUGCAAGUGAAGGGAAUCCAUUAAAGAGAUGCCUAUGCAGCCAACACAUGCAAGCAGAUCAAAGGCUCAAUGAGAGUGCUCUGGGAGCUGACAGAUGUGCCCUGCAUUCAUUCUGUAGACUUGUCAGUGUCAAUAUUGCAGCUCAUUAUAGAUGAACAUGGAAGGGAGCCAAUAUUUAUAGAACAGAGCCAAAUAGGGGAAAAUAGAGGAGGACGUCAACAUUCAGAGAACAGCGGGUAAAUAAGCAUGCAACAACUCUAAAAAUGGUGCGUUUUGUUGUUGGAAUAACCUGAUAUGUUUUGAGCAAUAUAUAGAAGGUUCCUUACAGUAAAAAAACCUUGCUGUUCCCUUGGGUUGAAGGCAGAGGACAUCAACCAUUAGAGCAGGUCAGAAAAGAGGUUUUGUGUUUUCCUGCCAAAAGUUCUAACAGUGGGAGGUUGUCUAGUAGGUCUUUCAGGGGACUACUUUAGAUGCAGAAUACAUGAAACACAGAGGAACAUGAAAAGACAAUUUUAGGUAGGUGAACAGGUUUGGCAAGGAAUUGGUUUGAGAGGUUAGCUGCUGAAAAGUACCUCACAAGAGAUUUUUACUCUGUAUAACUGUGGCACUGAUAGCGAUGGAUGUCUUUGAUACAGCUACACAGAUCAGAUUAGGCUUCAUAGACAAACGAGUACCAGUUUCUGUCUCAAGUUUAGGUUGGACUCAUGCUUAAAGCAGAAACUUCUUACAAGGAGGUUGUUCAGCUCUUAUGUGAGAUACAAUGAAAAUAGGUCCUUGGUAACCCCUUUCAAAAAUGAAGAUAGGAAACAGUGGGGGAACAGAGAAAUGAACGUAAAGGUGGAAAGCUGAUUAAGAAGUAAUAUAGGGAGGUUUGAUGAAUAAGGCAGAAAUUGCAUGAAUUGCACUUGAAAUGACAGAUGGCAGAAACUGAACGAGGAGUCAGGGAGGGACACACAGUUUGGGAACUACACCUUGCCCUAAACUUACAUUAAAGUAACGAAAAAACACAAGAACCACCAAUUUAUGAAAUAAAUUGUGUGCAUCAGUCUAUGAAGUGCUCUCAUACAGUUCUGUAAAGAAGCAGAGGGAAUUUAACACCCUGCUGCCCAUGACAGAGCUGCUUUGUGUUGAGUGCUCCCUGGCUUUUUUCACACUGGUGCUCUCUGUGCUGGACUGUCUGAUAAACCAACACCUCUUCCUAGGCCUAACUUUAUGCUACAUGGAAUAUGUUAAAAAGCAGUUCCUAAAGGAGAAAUCAACAAGCUUACAGACAAAGAAAGAAAAAGCUCAGCAGGUGAGAAAGAUAUGUGAUGAACUGAUCAUUUGUAAUCUGAAAUACAAUCUAAAGUGAAGCAAUUUAAAAAUGGGAUAGCUGAAAAUGCACGUAGAUGGAACAGGAAGAAUAUACCAGCAGUCUGACUUCACAACUUGUAAGAUCAAUAUUGAAGAACAUGUGAUUUUGUCCCACAGAGUAACAAGACUCCUAAAAUUCAAGAAUGCCUUUGCUGAAAUGAUCAGUGCAGGAAAGAAGUGAAGGAGAUGUUACUGGAUUGAAUGGACAAAGCAAGCAGAUUCAUGAAUGAAACAGUGUUCGGAAAAAAUGGAGUGGGCUUAAGUAAUUCUCUAGCCAGUCCACGUUUUAUAAGCAGUACUGCCACAAAAACAGCAGAUAACAUGAGCUUCUUUCUGACCUGGCUGGCAGCAUUACAGGGAUAAUAUUUUCAUUAGGAUGAACUGUUCCUGAACUAUUUUGCCAUGGCAGAAGGUACAAACUGAGACUGUCUUUCAAAACCAAGCAUAUAAGGUUUUCCUUUAGUUUGUUUGGUAGGUGGAUGGCUUGCUUGUGCUUCUGCAGAUGUGACAGACUUACCUGGCAGAUAGAACAUUCCUUGUUUAAUCAGUAUGGCUCCUUUUAUAGGUACUUAAUUCACUCCAAACUGAAUGGUUAUGAAGGCACCUCCUCCAUUUACUUUAUGUGUGAGUCCUUCUGAUGUGCAAGUAUAGUACAGAACUGUACAAUACAUUUGCAACAGUUGGGGUCAUUUAUUUGUUCUCCUUUUACAUACCUUGUCUUUUUAUCAUGAAGGUUCAUUGGUUUGAAAGUAUUGGGUAUUCUUUAGGCUACUGCUAUCAUAAGUUACUUCAGCAGUACUGUAAAUGGCAGGUAUAAUGGUGCUCUUCAUUUCACCCAUUUUUAAAGGUAGCGAUGACACAGUAAAAUCAGCUGUUUAUAAGACCUUGUAGCUUAUUUCACAGGUUAAUGCUUCAGUGAAAAAGUUAAUCCUGGCCAUUACACUACAAAACAUUUUACUUAACUUUAUAUUUGGCACAAGAGCAAAGGAGUGCUCUUUAUUGUCACUGCUGGGAAAGCUUUCUUUUGGGAGCUGAAUCCUGCUGUUGAGGCAGUAAAUUAAUACACAAGAAAACCGAGGAUAAAUUUGCAGAAAAAACCCUAAGAAUUAGAAGUUCUGAAAUGCUGAAGUGAGAGCAUAUUUGUUCAGAAUACUGAAAAAUAUAAAGUGGAAGUGAAUAUUAAGUUCUGGUUAGCACAGGCAUUAGAGAAGAGAAAGGUAGAGUGAAGUUGACUGUAUUAAGGUGGAAUUACUAACAGUGCCAGGAAAAAACAGAAGAGGAAUUUUCCUCUGCAAAGGGACUCACUAAGUUCCUACCAUGACUUUAAAAUCACACUCAUCACAAACCAAGCUACAAAAAACCCGUGGUGGGGCAUGGUGAGAUUGUUUGAACACAAAGGUGUACUAACCUGGUGAAAUUUGUAACCUGGAGAUUUUUUUAGAAGAAAAUAAUCUACUAGGUAUACAGAAUUUGGAAUAAGAAGUGUUGCCUGCUAUUCUUUGAAGUAAGAAGGAAAAAUGGUAUAAGUUAUUAAAUAAAUAAUUUACAAUUGCCCUCUAAUAUUUUAUAAACAUAGUAGCCUGGAUGGAAUAUAACUUGAAAUGGAGGAAAAUGUCUAUGGGUGAAAUCCUAUCUAAUGAAGGAACCAUCAAAUUAUUUAAAAAAGCAAAGUGGCCGGGAAAGCAGUCUGAAAUUUUAAACUAGAAGAGCUGAAGCCAGACUGUAAUGGAGACUCCAGACAUGCUCCACUGACCUUAGCAACUUGCAUGUUGCUCUGCUUCACAUUUAGAUGUGACGUGCAUAGGAAAAGACUGCUUUCUAUGGAUCCCCUCGGUGACUCCACUGUAGCUGCUGUUGAAUGAGAGAUACUAAGGAGCAUGCAGUUACUGCUCCACCACAGGCAACACAUCCAUUGAGAAUGGGGAAGGGUAGGCUGUCAGACACAUCUUGGAUAAGCUCUUAACAACUGGAGAGGGUAAAAAAGGGCCGGUUUAUUAUAAAAAUACGGGAGAGAAAGAGAAAUGUUUUAAGGUCACAGAUUAAUACAUUUUAAGGCCCAGGUGAUACUACAGUAGUGCAGGGUAGUCAUACAGGUAACGCAGGUACAGCUAGGGACAGAGCUUCUUUUGAUGUCUUUGUACAGUCCUGUCUUUAGCAAAGUAAACUGAGCCAACAGAUGUGGUUCUGAGCC
This is a long non-coding RNA of Falco peregrinus (peregrine falcon), 5636 nucleotides long. RefSeq lists it as uncharacterized. The record is from RefSeq and is a predicted model, not a curated record. The transcript has 3 exons. NCBI's taxonomy places the organism in Eukaryota, Metazoa, Chordata, Aves, Falconiformes, Falconidae.